This 305-nucleotide ribosomal RNA is filed under the name uncultured bacterium. RNAcentral describes it as "bacterial SSU rRNA". It matches the Rfam family "Bacterial small subunit ribosomal RNA", at positions 336 to 639 of the family's 1533-position model. The record is from RNAcentral.
UUCCUACGGGACGCAGCAGUGAGGAAUAUUGGUCAAUGGUCGGGAGACUGAACCAGCCAAGCCGCGUGAGGGAUGAAGGCACAGAGUAUCGUAAACCUCUUUUGUCAGGGAACAAAGGCGAGGACGUGUCCCCGGAUGAGUGUACCUGAAGAAAAAGCAUCGGCUAACUCCGUGCCAGCAGCCGCGGUAAUACGGAGGAUGCGAGCGUUAUCCGGAUUUAUUGGGUUUAAAGGGUGCGCAGUCGGUCUGUUAAGUCAGCGGUCAAAGCCCGGGGCUCAACCCCGGACCGCCCGUGCAACCGGCAG